Rosa chinensis is the source of this 2037-nucleotide long non-coding RNA. RefSeq lists it as uncharacterized. The record is from RefSeq and is a predicted model, not a curated record. The transcript is spliced from 9 exons. NCBI's taxonomy places the organism in Eukaryota, Viridiplantae, Streptophyta, Magnoliopsida, Rosales, Rosaceae.
UUCUAUUCUUGCUCCCCUUAGGACACCCAAUCUUCUUCUUUUUUUGGUGAAAUCAUCAGCUUACCAUUCUUAUGCUGCAAGACUAAGGAGACAUUCUCCUCAACCUGUAGCAUUGAGUCAAGAAAGCUAAAACCUUCUUCCCAAACCUUUCCAAAUUAUUCAUUGCUUUUCUUUUUUUCCCAACUGGACACUACAAAAAAUAAUUACAAUGGCUACCCCGUUUGGCGUCGGCAUCCUUUUGCCGUCGCAAAAAAUUGACUUUUCGCUUUGGCAAAAUCAUGCCGUCGUAAAACUUGCGACUGAGUUGCUAUGCCGUGACAAUGGGGUAGCCAAACUUUAAUAUUUAUCUUCGGCGAACGUUUGCGGUCGCAAACUUCCAAUACUUGGCGACUGAGUCUAAAAUGCUGUCGCACUAGUUAACAACUAUGAGCCAAAUUCUCUUAUUAAAUCUAUUUUCUCAUCAAAAAACCCUAGGCUAUUUCUCUCAAUCCCUGUUCUCUAUCGCAUCCCUCUUUCUCUCUCUCUCUCUGUGUUCUCGAUCUAAUUGAACAAAUUGAGCAUCGCAGAACUUGGUGGCCACUGUGCUGAUCUAGAUCCAGGGCUUACUCUUUUUGGGUAUUUCAUUUUGGCUUACUCUUCAGUCGUUCCUCUCCUCUCUCGUUGAAUCUACUUCGACUCAGAUGCUUCCAAUUCAAUGGCGGGGUCAUUCAUGCGAGUUUCUUUGUGUCCGAUCGAAAUUCGUACUAAAUUUCGAUUCAACUCAGAUGGUCUCUCUUCUCUGUUCUCGGAAAGCUAGCAUCUUGGGAACAGCAAGCUGACACAAGUUCUUAAAGACUCCCUUGGUGGUGAGAUUCCUUAUGAGAUCGGAAAGAUGGGCAGCGUAGAAGAGGUUCAGAAUUUUGAUGAGACAGCAAAACAACCUAUGUUAGAAGGUGAUAAUUCAGCAAAGUUUACUGACCCCAAAUUAUCAUUCAUGACAUAUCAGACAAGAGAUUAGUAGAAAGCUGGAAAAUGCAUACAAAAGUUAGGACAAAGUUGCACUUCAUGAAAGCUCCAACCAAGAUGAAUGAAAAAGUAAUAUGCUUUUCAAGUUUUUUAAUUCUUUUGUUCCAGGUAAAUUUCCCUCUCCAUUUUCUUCUCCUUUUCCAUCAAAUUGUGUUUACCAAUUGCACAAUUAUAUUUUCCUUUUCAUGUCAUCGCGAUUAUGAUUUCCACUGGUUUGAUUCAUUUUUUCUUUCGAAGCUAUAAUUUCUGUUCAAGGAGCUCCAAAGAUCUCCUCAGACCCGACUGCAAUGGCACCGAGUAUUUUCUCAGUGCAAUUAUCAAUUACCAUCUUUAUAGAUAUUGAGGAGCGGCACAAAUUGUUGCAGGGCUAGGUUUCCCAGGAGAAGAGAUUUGUAGAUGCAAAAUGAGUUCAACGUAAUGGUGGUCAGAAGUUGGAGCUGCACAAUUUUGUACGAUGAAGCUACAGGCUCUACAGUAAGAGACCUUACAUGUCAACUAUCAACAUAUGCAUUCCUCCAACCACUAGUCUGUAGCAUGCAUUUUAGCCCCGGAGAGGUAGUAACUGUUGCUCAGGAAGUUGUCAGUAUAAUGGCCGCGAAGGGAUAUGAUCUGGGACAAGAUGCAUUAAUCAAGGCCAAAAGCUUCUGAUGUCAAGGCCAAAAGCUUCUGAUGAGUCCUACCAAGUAUCAGCUACUACAGCAGCCAAGGUUUACAGUUACUUCAUAACACAAUAUUUUUCUCUUUACAGAGGGGAGAGUUAUCAAGCGGACAUCUCCAUCGAUCUGAGCAAGCACCAUAUGCCCAGAAUCUAGUUGAGAUAGAGAAAAAAAAGCUUUCCAAUCACCAAGUACUUCAGAGUUUGUAUUUCAAUAUAUAUUUUGCAUAUCACGUAUACAUGAGCUUUUUGUAUUUUAGAAUUUUGAACAUUGCUCAGAUGUAUGACCUUCAUUUCUUUAAAGCUUAAUUAUCUUGUAAACUUUCGUGUAACCUUCAUUUCUUUUGUAACAUUUAUGAAUGUAUCAUUUCCUGUUG